CCUACGGGUGGCAGCAGUGGGGAAUAUUGCACAAUGGGGAAACCCUGAUGCAGCGACGCCGCGUGAGUGAAGAAGUAAUUCGUUAUGUAAAGCUCUAUCAGCAGGGAAGAAAAUGACGGUACCUGAGUAAGAAGCCCCGGCUAACUACGUGCCAGCAGCCGCGGUAAUACGUAGGGGGCAAGCGUUAUCCGGAUUUAUUGGGUUUAAAGGGUGCGUAGGCGGACAGUCAAGUCAGCGGUAAAAAUGCGGUGCUCAACGCCGUACAGCCGUUGAAACUGGCAGUCUUGAGUGGGCGAGAAGUAUGCGGAAUGCGUGGUGUAGCGGUGAAAUGCAUAGAUAUCACGCAGAACUCCGAUUGCGAAGGCAGCAUACCGGCGCCCGACUGACGCUGAGGCACGAAAGCGUGGGUAUCGAACAGGAUUAGAUACCCUUGUAGUC
RNAcentral lists this ribosomal RNA (438 nucleotides) under uncultured bacterium. RNAcentral describes it as "partial 16S ribosomal RNA". It matches the Rfam family "Bacterial small subunit ribosomal RNA", at positions 338 to 795 of the family's 1533-position model. The record is from RNAcentral.